This 500-nucleotide ribosomal RNA is filed under the name uncultured bacterium. RNAcentral's name for it is "partial 16S ribosomal RNA". It matches the Rfam family "Bacterial small subunit ribosomal RNA", at positions 30 to 523 of the family's 1533-position model. The record is from RNAcentral.
AUUGAACGCUGGCGGAAUGCUUUACACAUGCAAGUCGAACGGCAGCACGGACUUCGGUCUGGUGGCGAGUGGCGAACGGGUGAGUAAUAUAUCGGAACGUAUCCAAUAAUGGGGGAUAACUAAUCGAAAGGUUGGCUAAUACCGCAUACGUCCUACGGGAGAAAGCUAGGGACCUUCGGGCCUGGCGUUAAUGGAGCGGCCGAUAUCGGAUUAGCUAGUUGGUGAGGUAAAGGCUCACCAAGGCGACGAUCCGUAGCUGGUCUGAGAGGACGACAAGCCACACUGGAACUGAGACACGGUCCAGACUCCUACGGGAGGCAGCAGUGGGGAAUUUUGGACAAUGGGCGAAAGCCUGAUCCAGCCAUUCCGCGUGAGUGAAGAAGGCCUUCGGGUUGUAAAGCUCUUUCGCAAGAGAAGAAAACUUACCCUCUAACAUAGGGUGAGGUUGACGGUAUCUUGAUAAGAAGCACCGGCUAACUACGUGCCAGCAGCCGCCGUAA